AAACACACCAAGGGCCAAUCCCCAUUGUCAGUCUUUCCCUUCAUAUUUCCCCUUCGUCUACCUCUGCCCCUUGGCCCCAAAGAAAUGAGAAGCCAUUUGAUUCCCGCUAUGUCAUCAUGCCUUGCUGCUUGCUGGCUCUGUCGUUGGCUGAUGCGACAAUAAUGGUAAACAAGUUGGAAAACAACACCGACCCCCAAUUUCCACCGCAUCCGGAACGGCUACCAGAAGGCCGUAUCUGCCGAUCGUAGCUGAUCGUAACCAUUCAAGUUAGUGUGUCUAUUUCUACCGACUUCUUUCCAUUCCGCUGCGGAUUGCCAGACUCCACAGCUGAUCACAAGAGUCCUUUCUUCACAGAUUAACCCGUGCUGGAAAGGAAGUCGGGCACAGACACAAAAUAAAACAUCCGGCUUCUUCCGGACGGAGAUGAACAAGUCAAAGGUUUAUAGAUGUCAUUUCACCCCGAUGACACCAUGGAUGAGGAGAUGCUGAUUCUAGAAGUCUAGAAGUAGAUUUCCUCCUCUGGAAGGACACAAUCUACUGCUUAUAUGUCUAUGUGUCUGUCUUUAUAGAGACAACUUGUUAUCAUGUGAUUGCAAAUGAAUCCGAGGGUUCUUGUGAGUUCCCGUGAUUCCUGCUGAUCGUAAUCUGCCACGAAAUUCGCCUCACAAAUGGAUCCGGUAGGAAUUGGCAGAUGGUGAAAAUUGCCGCCGUUCCAGAUUGGAGCCGUUCUGGAUGCAGUGAAAAUUGGUGGCUACUGUUGUAACGUUUAGCCUGAUGUAGCUUCUAUGUUAGAGGUUACUUAGCUGUCUGAUCAGUCUGUCUAAUCCGUCAUAAAAUGCAGUACAUCGUAGUGAAGUCUGUCUGCAGUGAAUUUGUCACCCGAGUCUGACAUCAGUGUAGCUAUCAUUAGCUGAAACUUUGUUAGCUAGCUCAUCAUAAUGAGCGAUUUUAAACAAUUCAAAACAUGGCUAAUAUUUACACGGAGUAGCAAAGGAUUGAACUUCUGAUAAAAACAUAAGUGUCAUAUCAAAGUCUUACCCCUCCCUUUCAAGUGAGGUCCUGGUUUGUCUUCGUUUCGAGGGCGUAGUCACCCUUUCCCUUAACCUUACAGAGAAUUGGGGCAACCCUUUACUAUUUGAAGGAUGCACCCCUUGGGAUACACUUGAGAUUGGCCCUAAAUUUUAAAAAAAUACGGUCAUAUACUGUAGAAAAACCAGUGGAUGUUUAAGAUGGUUUUUUUUACAUCGUGAACUCAAUAAAUUAAAUACCAAAUCCUGGAUAUGAGAUGAUCCCAGUGUCUUUCGUUCACUUUAGUACAAAGCAUAAAAACGGUGACAUUUUCCUUUUCUUUUGUGAGAAUCAUAGCACUAAUUUGGCAAAAACAGACCUGCAGUGUUGGCGGUCUCAACUUCAUAAUGAGGGACACAACAGGAUGAGAAAUCUUAGCAGCAAAUUCAUUUGUGCAAGUUCCCAAAUAUGCGAAAAAAGAUCGAAGCGAAUUCGGUAGCUGGUUUACAGCUGAUAUCCCAGACGUUGGAAAAAGACCCUCACAGUGUCCCUAUGAUAUUUAGUCUUACUGGUCAACUGAAGUGAUAUAAUAAUGUUUAUAUAAAACAAAUGGCGUACAAACCCAGACACACAUCCACAUCUCUUCAUCAUCUCAUCUCCGGAGAAACCACAGCCGUGUUUCUCUCCAGCUUUGGCUCCGUCUCUCCUCCAGCAGCUCGUCUUCCUCCCAGUGAUGUCUCUGCAUCUUUACUUUGGACCUGGUCCCAGGACAGAGACAGCCAGCAGACUGCAGGUGGUGCAGAUCUGAUGAAACUUGGACCACAGCUGUGAUACUGCCACCGGUGGGAGAGAAAAAGCAGAGGUAUUUUUGGACGGGGAAGGAUGCUCAAUAUUUACUGUUUUAAAUCUGUUUGUCGGGUUUAGUCAGAGCUAAUGUUUGGAAAUCUACAAUAUUUGAUUCCACAAACCAAAGAAAAUGAAUGUUACAACAUAAUUUACCGCUUUAGUGAUCUUCUAUGAAGUUAAAUAAGAAAAUCCAGGUGGUUAUGUGGUUUGUUUUCCCAUUUUAGUUACAUAAGCAUGAGCUGCUGGAGCAGGAGAGAGUAUUUUAUUCAUAACAAAGACUGUAGAGCAGGAAAGAGUGGCAAAAAGCACUUCGCAAUUAGCCAGUCACAUCCCAACAAGCGUACACUCGGAGCCUGGCUGUACGCUCGCUGCUGUGUGUCAUAAUCGUCAGUGUGUGAAGAGCAAAUGAACUUCUGCUCUCACAAGCACAAGAGUGUGUCGGUCUGAAAUGAGCUGGAGUGAGGCGCUAAAGAGGCCUGAUGCUAUUUUCAGAACCUGGUCUAAAGCCUGAAGUCAGGACUCCGACUUAUCGAGACGCAUCAGUGUCGCUUCUGAUAUGUUGGAUUGGAUUUGAGUGUUGAUUGGGACACUUGGAGAUUUCUUCUCUCAUCUCCAAUAAAGGGAUACCAGAAAACAAGGGCACCCUCAUCACUGCCAGAGACUAAUCAGAGUUAUUUGUGUAACAUGUGCCACGAGAUAAAAGGUGAUAAAAAUGACCUGAUCAACAAAAACUCUGCUGUCUCAGCGUCUGUUUUCUUCACCGCUUUAAGGAUGACUCGAUGUUUAUUCCAGUUCGAUUCCCCGCUUGGUCACAUUUCCUCUUCGUCUCCGCCCUUUCUUUUGCGCUUUCUUCCCACUUUUGGCGGUAGGGCAAGCAGAAGGUUUUUUUUUUUGCGUCCUUCUCCAUCACAGCUCCUAUAGCUAAGCUGCUACGCUACUUUUAGCCGCUCAGAGCUCCGAGGAGGGCUGGGAGAGUGGGAGGGGACAAGUCGGAAACACGGGAGAGGGGUGUGUCGAAUACAGCCAGGUGAUUGGCUCCUAUUGGUCAAUGUUUUUUGCAGCCCUGCACCUGCUAAGGUGAACGGAUUUUUUCAACUUUUUUCUCUUCACUUUGUGGAGAUCGCACUAUAGGACCAUGAUCGCCAUAUAAACGAGGUUCAUUAUAAUUACCAAUUUCUCCAGUCGUCAACGAUACCUUUGAAUGUUUGAUAUUUCUUCCCUCAGCUCCAGUGUGGGGAUGCCUGAAGACAAGGGCACCCUCAUCACUUCCUCCUUCUGGGGCGGCAGUAGCUCAGGAGGUAGAGCGGUCGUCCAAUAACCGGAAGGUUGGCGGUUCGAUUCCCCCCUAAUCCAAGUCUGUCCGUUGUGUCCUUGGGCAAGACACUUGACCCACCUUGCUCCCAGUGUGUGUCCUCCACUGGUGUAUGAUUGUGAGUGUUGUGUGGUGGUGGUCGGAGAGGCCGUAGGCGCAGAAUGGCAGCCACGUUUCCAUCACCACCAAAGUGUGACUGUGUGAGCGAAUGAAUGAUGUAUCCAAUGUAAAGCGCUUUGAGGGUCUCUGAUAAAGCGCUAUAUGAAAUCUGAUGCAUUAUUUUUUUUUUUCCUUACAUCCACGCUUCACCUUAGCACUGCUAAGGCUUAAAAACUUCAGCCUGAGAUGUCAACAAGCUCUCCAUCAUGCGCACUCUUGAGCGAAGGAUUUCUUUUAACACUCCUUUAGUAAAUUUAAUUUUAACUUUAAAAACAUUUUAUUUUACUGCACCUCACCCAGAUUAGCAAAAUGUGUUCAGACCACCUUAAUUUACUCAUUUAAAGAACCCCCUUUGUCUCAGGGUGUCUAUAUGAUCCAUAUGUAGGUGUGUGUGUGUGUGUGUGUGUGUGUGUGUGUGUGUGUGUGUGUGUGUGUGUUCAGUGUGUUCAGUGUGUAUUUCUGUCUAUAAACUGCUUACCUGGAGAAAAUGUUGAGGUUGAUGAGCCCACCGUGACCCCCAUCUCCUUAAGAUGUCACCUGCUGACGUGCAGAAAAGUAAGAUGGGUUUUUUGGUUGUGUGUGUGUGUGUACCUGCAGUCAGGUUUAUCUUGCUGUGGUUUCCUGGAUGUUAUGGCCUGAUUUUGAUGAUAACCGCCCUCUGUCAGCAGUCUGCAGAAAACCUCCUAUAAGCAGUUUUGCUCCUUUAGUAGCAGCAUACCCCCAACACAUGCUUACACAAACUGCAUACACACACUUGCACAAACACACACACACACACACCCUGCUUGUGUAUGCUGCUUUACGUUAAGUGUCGGCCUCUCUGUUUGUGGCUGAAUGAAGCUGCAGCGCGGCUCCAUAUUUGCCUGUAAUAGUAAAUAAACACUGUCUACUUCACGCUGCUGCUGGGAUAGAAGGACAACAUCUCAGACUGAACACCCGUUUAGUUCCAUUUGCAUCGUGGGUAUUUCUCCUGACAGACGUUAAGAUCCAAAUUACUAUUUCUGUGGGUGAAAUGUAUCAACCUGAGCCUGAGCAUUUAGAUAUUUCCUGUGCGUUUCCUCGUGUGUGUGUGUAUUUUGUGUAAGUGUAUGCAUGUGUGUGUUUUGCGGCGGCGUCCCGCUGUGCUUCUACACGGCUAUUGAUCAGGGGAUCUGAGGAGCAGCGGUAAGUGGAAGGUAAACAAGCUGCUCGAGACCUGAUGGAAGUCUUGUUAUAGAGAUUUAAAAGCCAGCCCCACGUCUCCGCCUCGUCUGUUGUGAGUGGUUACGGCUCCCUGGAUGUAUCAUGGCUCCUCCGUCAGUGUUGAUGCAGAACAGUCAGCAGCAGACCUGAUCAAAUAAGAAUCACAUACUCUCUCUUUCUUUACCAUUUUUAUUUCUUUACUCCCUCAGAGAGAGUUCUGGGUUUGAAUGACGGCCGGAGGAGAAGGUGAAUAGAGAGGGGAAAUGAUGCCACAGCUGAGUUGAUGAGUUCAUAAUCUACGAGAAGAUGAGAAGUUGCAAUCGAGCUGGUUUAACAUAUUUCUGCACUUUAACCUUCCAGAUAACCAAACGCUGAAUUGUCUGGGAUUAUAACACCAAUCAGAAGUUAGUGCAGCUCUCCCCUGGAUGGACCAUCCUGCAGCCUCCAGAUUGAGGCUGACUGAUGCAGAGCUGCCAAUCGUCACGCUUUGAGUGUGACAGUCAUGCAAUUUGACCAAUUCUCACACCACACGCCACACUUGACAUUCUUCACGCUUAUAUUUCUCCAUUUAAUACUCUGUAUUCAUGAUAGUAACCUUGCCUUGCUGUAGUUCGAGUAACUCUGAUUGACCGACCGAGACAACCAAUCCCAGACCAAUCCAUCGGUCCUUUGUGCCUAAAUCUAACCAACCAAGGAAGGCUGGUUGGUUGGUUAGACCACGCAAUAUAAACCAAUAAGAAGCAACGUAAGGCGGGUCUUGGCGUCUCUAACUACUUUAACUUUACAUACAACAGCGCCGACAUUUAAAACCCACUCAAUGUUCUCCUAAAGACGGACGGUAGGUUAAGACUCGCAUUAGGAAGUCACAGUGCAGGGAGAGCAGCUGACACAGAGGUGAGGACAUCAGUCUGAAGUUUUACUGUUUCUGCACAGUUACCUACUAAAGGGCCAAACCAAUGUUCAUUAGGAGAAACCAGAAACAACAAAACAAAUGCAAAGACUGAAAUUUGCUGCAAAAAAGACACAAAAUGUGUUUACGGUGAAUACUAAAGACAAUAAAAGAUUAUUUUUUAAAUUACGCAUAUCUUGAAAAAAACAUGCAAAACAAAUGUGACAGAAACACGGCUGAAAACGUCGAGUCACCCCAGGUUUCCCACCUGAUCUUAUGCUGCGUUCCAGUUACCUCGCAAGUCGGAUGUCGGAGCUGGGAAUGACAUUACAUCAGAGUUGACGGGGUUCCAGUAAACAAGUCAGAAAACAAAGAUGGAAACCAACUGUUACCCGUGGUCAGUUGUCGUUAGCUGUUGUCAGCUGUUGUUAGCUAUACCAGUUGAAAACAGCAUUCACAGUUAGACGUUGGGCAGUACAACAUAUACAACUUAUUUAAUUUCACAAAAACAAAACAGAAGUGCUAGUAAAUAAAACACUAUGAGAGCUUUCACUGUUACUCUUUACUGCUGCUGCCAUCUUGGAUUCUGACGUUGUCAUCAAGUGGGGGUUGGCGAGGAUCGUCAGACUUUUCAAGUCGAAAAUCCGACUUCAGAGUGGCAUUCCAGAUGAAUUUCCGACUCAGAGCUCUGAACUCCCGACCUCCGAGUACAACUGGAACACAGCAUUAGGCCUUGAAGUCGAGGACCUUGGGGGUUGUCGUCUUUCAGGAGGUCAGAAAUGUACUCAGCAGCUUCACCGUUUAAAUAAGAUUUCUAGACAAAGAAUAAAUCUUAAAAUGACCAUCCAUAAAGACUCUGAAUCACAAACUGUAAGUAACAUUCCAACAGCUAACAUAUGCCAGUGAGGCUAAACGGGGAGCUGUGUAAAAAGUAGCACCGUGCAAAGCUUAUCUCACGGUUUGAUGAGGAUGAAUGUUCUGGAUGUUUCCGAUCGUUCCCUCACACAUCCAUGAGUUUAAUUCAAACCGUGUUUCUGGUGCGAUGUCUUUAUUACCUGUUGGAAACUUUUGUUCUCUGCUGCAGAAAUAGUCGCUCAGAAUAAGAUGUUUGUUUUCCUGAUGGCUCUGGUUUUAUUGCAGGAGUCUUUCGCAGCAACGCCACAAUUCCCCAACACGGUGACAGCAUAUCCUGUGUUUUAUAUUUGUUGUCAGGCGGUGUUGUGUUUUUCCGCCUGAUUUACACCCUGAGAGAUUUACAUGUCUGUGUGCAAAAGGCUGAAGCACGCUGUGUUCUGACUGCAGCUGAGAGGACACAGGCGGGUACGUGACGCCUCCAGCCUCUGAGCGGGAGAUGAUCUCUGCCCCGGCUGUUUACUGAGAGGAAGAUUGGUGGGUUUGGGGUGGUUCUGCAUUUCUGUUUAACGCUGUUUUAUUUAGUUUGAUUUCUCAAGCUGUAAUUCAGACUGCUUUUCAAACGCUGAUACUCCAACACGGCCUCCAGUCUCCAAGAAUAUCUGUCCUUCAUUCCUCCGCGGUUUACUUAGAAGUGCUGUUUGUGUUUUCAUUUACUGGCUGUUUGUUUGUCGGGCCUGCUCAGUAAUGCUUUCACUGAGUGCGGCUCUGUGCGGCGUCAUAUCAGCCGUGCAGAGUCUGGACCGGUCGUAUUUAUAGAUCAGCCCUCCAGAAGCCGGAGAGUAAUGAUGCUCUACAAAUGGGACUCAUCCAAAACUUGUUCCCCCUCCUCCCCCUACACACAGUCCUGUUAACCCUGACACUCCCACCAACACAAUCCUUACAUGUAACUCAUACACUUCACCACUUUCUAGAUUAUACACCUCCUCCAAGCUGCAGGUGUCAAACCCUUUUAUACAUCCUCUAUACAUGUAAGCCCAUAACCUCCAUUUCUCAGAGAAGGUGGCACCCUGUAAUUGUCCCACCCUGGACCCCGACGAGAGUUAUUUCAAACCAAACACAAUGUGCCGGUAAAGUGCUAUGAGCCUUUUAGUCAAUCCGUCUUCGGCAGGCGACUUUUAGUUCUUAAAUCAAUCAAUCAUUUCUGCGUCUAAUAGAGUUCUCACCUUACAGACGGCGGGAGCUUUGACGGAUGUAAAAGGCUGCAUGUGGGGUCUGCAGCCCUGUGAAUGGAUGAAUCAUAGAAACACGAGUCUUGGGUGGAGGGUGGAGGUUUCAAGUGCUGAGGAGACUUUAGUCCAAAACAACGUGCAAGAAUCGAGAAAGAAAAAGACUUAAAUUAUAUUGCUGUUUUUUUGUUUUCGUUUUCUUAAUUCUAGAUCAUCC
Molecule: long non-coding RNA, 7694 nt
Filed under: Xyrichtys novacula (pearly razorfish)
Lineage: Eukaryota; Metazoa; Chordata; Actinopteri; Labriformes; Labridae
Source: RNAcentral